This 28-nucleotide non-coding RNA is filed under the name Mus musculus (house mouse). The record is from RNAcentral. Lineage: Eukaryota; Metazoa; Chordata; Mammalia; Rodentia; Muridae.
UAACACAUGCCAAGACAAGGAUAAAACC